AAAUGCUUCGUAUUGUAUAGGCUUCUCUUAUAGUGUCCGUCAGCCCACCUGAAAAAAAAACUGCAACACCAAAAUAAAUGCCCCAUUAGAUACCAUAGUCUAAAUUCUCACAUAUGAGUAAAAUGCUGACAUGACAGCUCAAAAUGUCUUCUGUAAUCUGUACUGUACCACCAUAUUAGUGAUGUGAGGUGGUUGAUCUAGAACAAAAAUCAUUUCUUGGACUCCACCAGUUCGCAACUUCUGAAUUCUAAUCUCUCUAUAACUUCCAAUGAGCUUGAAAGUUCUGAAAUUUUCUAAUUAGCUUUUAUAUAAUAUUUUUUUAAAAAAAUUCUAGUGUCUCCUAUGUUGGAAAUAAUGCUUGUUGGGCCUCCUUGUUAGCAAUCAUCAGUGUGACAAUAUUAAUGAUUGGAAAAUUACAGAUCACAAUAUUAAUGGUGCUGGUUUGCCUGCUUUGAGCUGACAGGAACUGAAAAAGGAUGCAAGUCCAACAAACCUGCUGUGUUGUGGCCUUGAGGGGCUACUUUUGGAGGGAAACGGCGUCCUUAACAUUGCCAGACUCCUUGCUAACGGCGUUGCUGAAGUGCACCAUCUGCGUGCUGAUGCACGGGCGACAGCAUGACGAAAUCUAUCUUCUCUACUUCUUGCUAACCCGGCGGAUAGCCUGCGUAGCCCCGCUGAUAAGCACGGAGCGGCCCCAGCGACGUCGUCGAGGUCGCCAAUCUUGAUCACUGGCCAUCUUCCGAUUUAAAUAGUUUUUUUCUUCCGAUUUAGAUGCCAGGCCUUCUCUAUCUAUUAGAAAAAAAAUGUAUUUCCGAGUGACCGUUCUUGUAGGCCCGUCGCAUCAAAUCCCUCUAUCCAAGCUCCGCGGGCGUAACAGAGAGACGCACCUACUGAAACCAAGGAUUGAGCCGUUCAAAAAAAAAAGGCCAAGGAUGUGCUUUUGCUCAACUAUAUUUAAAACAGGUUUUCUGCACAUACAAGGACUUGCUGCAGUGACAAAUUUUACAAAGGGAUGCCGGCACUAACAAUUACUUCUUUGUGUCAUUGUGUGAUCCGAGUAUCUGCACCGGCAAUGAAAAUGAAGCUGGGGAAAAGCACUGGUCUUCAUUUUGAUCUUCCUGGAGUUCUGAGUGUAGAACUCGGUUUACCUGCGCUUUUUUCAUUCUUUCUUCUCGCUGAUUCCAGCAAAAAAUGGCUGCAUCUAAUUUCCUCAGGCACGGCACCAGUGCAAUGUACGAGUCCCUGCGUCUUUUUCCUUGUGUAAUUUUUUUUGUUGGAUUAGCUGUAUCAUGGCUCAUGAGUACAUCGUCAGAUGCCUCUUAAUUUUGUUGGAUUAGAAUGUUGGGUACUUGGGUAUCAUGGCAAAGGGGGUCACUAUUGGAAUUUCACUUACAGUUUACUCUUUAGGAUCUUGCACCAUGUAUUCCUAGGUUUAGGAGUUCUGAAGUUGAAAAGAAACAAUCAGCAGUGGCAUGCAGUUUUUUGAA
Panicum virgatum (switchgrass) is the source of this 1487-nucleotide long non-coding RNA. RefSeq lists it as uncharacterized. NCBI's taxonomy places the organism in Eukaryota, Viridiplantae, Streptophyta, Magnoliopsida, Poales, Poaceae. The record is from RefSeq and is a predicted model, not a curated record. The transcript is spliced from 2 exons.